Equus caballus (horse) is the source of this 5429-nucleotide long non-coding RNA. The record is from Ensembl. NCBI's taxonomy places the organism in Eukaryota, Metazoa, Chordata, Mammalia, Perissodactyla, Equidae.
GUAGGUUGUGAAUUAGACUGAUUUACUGGUUUCUUUCUUUUUUUUUUUUUUUUUUUUUCCAACAGCCUGUGAUCUCUUGCUCCCUCUGGUGUCUGAUUGCUAUAGUAUGGGAUAGAACAUUAGAGGCAUGCUCCACUCCUCUUUCUCUUUCCCUAUGGAGAAGCCUUGAGAUCUGCCCCUUCUCCCAAUUUUUCAAAGCCGUGUCAGGCACAGCAAACCACUCUCCAAUUUUCCUUCUUUUUUUAGUCGCCUCCACAAAACUAGGUUAGUUCCAUCAGGGCUCUGGAUGAGGUGAGAUGGAAAACAGCCCCUCGGGCAGCAGAGUGAAAGGCCAGGAUUUUGGAGGCAUUCUCUAUUCCUUUCCCUCCCUCCCAGGGGGGAAGCUUCAGAAUCUCACAGAGCCAUGCCAACCACAGCAGACUGUCUGCCCCUUUUCCUUUGUUCUUAACUGCCCCCUGGCAUCUGAACUAUGCCUUCAUAUGAGGCAAGACAGAAAGCAACUCCUCUGGCAAUGCACGUAAAUGCUGAGAUGUUUGAGGCAUAUUUCACUCUCUCUUGCCUCAGUAGAGAAGUUGCAGGCCAAGAUGCUCUCUCUGUGCUGAGCUGUGCCUGCUUGGGGGAGGGGAUGGCUCAGAUAAAAUUAAAUUGCUCUCUUCUCAUUUCAAUGUGGCUUUUCUCAGUUUUGCACUCCUCUGGAGUACUGCAAAUUCCUAACUCGAUUCUACACUUCUCAUAAAGGUAUUUUGGUCCAUAUAUCAUUGUUAAAUUGGUGUUUCUGUUGGGGAAUGAGGGCUGAUUCUUCCUAUUCUGUCAUCUUGCUGACAUCACUCCUUUGUUGUUUUAAUCGAUGACAUUACAGUUUUCCUCAAGGGUCAGAAUUUAUGUCCAAAGUUAACAAUGAGGAACUGAAAACUACUUAGAAGCUCUGUAUAGGUUUAUGGGGCUUGCUGACUGCUGAACGUAGGGAGAACUUUCUUUGAUCGGACUGAUAUUUGGCUGUUAUGUUGGUGGGUGCCCCAAUGUUAGAACUCAGAAAAUUUCACUAUGGGAUAGUUAAAUUUCUUUUUAUUAGAAAAAUUUCUUAUGUAUGGAAGAUAGACUUUGGGAGGUCACACUCUUUUAGGAAGGAAGGAGAAAAUGGGAAAUUUACUCUUCAGUAUUCAGUUGUAGGGGUCUGGAAUUGGCCUGUAUUUUGGAAGCAAGCAAUCAGGUAUUUAAUAAGUAUUUCUAUGGAAAUAAAAGAAAAACAAGGUUUAUGGUUGGAGCAAAUUAUAAACUAGUUUCUGAGUCCAGGAGGCAGCCAGUCAAGAAGACUUCUAGAUGUCAGAGUGAAGCAUCUUUAGCAGCUUGAAAUGUCUCUGAUGAUGUCAUCAGGCAUUCAGGUAUCUUUCUGAGUGGGUUACAGUCUACACAGCAACAGACAGGAAUCUCUGGUAAGUUUCUAUCAAGUUGUCCAGCUUUAGUUAGCAAGGCUUCAGGAAAAAGAGCAGGUUCAAUUCUCAAUGAUUCCAAAUGAAAAUGAGGUAAAAAAAAUUGAAAACAUUAGUUUGGAGAUGUGUAACCAGAUAUUUCAGUAGAAGAAUUCAGAAUCCAGUCCAGUUCACAGGUAGAAAAAAAACCUCAAAGACAAUUAACAGAACUAGGAUCUAAGAUCCACAAAUGUGUAUUUUAGUUUUUCACUGAAACAUAAUUCUUCUCUCUAAAAUCACCCUGAUUUUUACCAAAGAUAGCCAAGUUAAGACUAAUUGGUUUGCAAUAUAAGUUUAAAGAAACUUGGCCCAAUUAUUUACAUAAGUGCAGCAAGAAUAGCAAAUGAUCAUUCAGGCUCUUAGAUCUGCUUUGCAGGAAUUUUUUUAUGAGGAAUCUCAGAUUGAACUUUAAAGACUUCUCGAGGCCAGGAAAGCCAAGCCAAGGAUUUGUUGUCAGAUUUUGCCUGCAGUACCUACAGAUUUGGGUGGAUUCCUCCCUUCUCAAGGUCCCCCAAAAUAUUAUGAGGUUCCAUGCACCUGCCAGAUAAGCUUCCUUACUUACCAGGUAUGAUUGCCAGAAUCUUGUAAACAAGGUACCAGGCCCGUAUUUCCAAGUGGCUUAUUUCCAGAAAGUCAACCUUAUUCCUCAAAGGCAGUAUUGUCAUAUCCGAGUCUGUAUGUUCCUCUCAAAUAUGACAUUGCAGUCAAAGCUUUGGCAAGAUAACCAAUGUGUCCUGUUAUAAGGAGAACAGAUUCUUAUUGAACUUAUGGAAAUAACUAUAUUGACAUGAAAUAACCAUACUCACAAAGAGUUUCCAAAUUCUCAAGGGAUCAGGUAGGGAGAAAAAGAUAAAUGUUUCAGUUUUGCUCCCAAAGGUAUAAUUUCACCAAAUUGCUACUAAGUCAUAGCACAAGAAAAAAGAGGAAAAGAUUUUCUUGAAUCUGAAAAAACAAAGCAAAACAUCAAAAAAUCAACAAUAUUUCAAAUAAAAGUCACAAAAAUUAUCAUCCUCAGUUCAUUCAGUCCUGUAUAAUCAGUUCUUGAUCUUAAUCUUCUGUUAGCAGUUUUAUGUGGUCAUCAGUUUCUCCAUGAGAUUUCUGUAAUUUCUUACCCAGAGCUCAGUUCUAUGAUCUGAAAGUUUAUCAGAAAAUUGUGUUCCAGAGUAAGUGUCAGAGUCCUUUCCAUGAAUCCCUCUGAAGAUGAGACAUAUUUGCAAAAGCAAAAAGCAGAGUAAAACAACUGACUGUAAACAACAAAAGACUUAAAAUGACAAUUGACAGAGAAACUUGGUUAUUUCUGUGAUAUACAACACCUUAUAAUAAUAUUUAGAAUUAUGGCUGAUAGGACAGAUCAGAAUUUUAGGAAUGUUAUGUAAUUUUCAAAACACUUAUAUCAGUAACCUUUACCCACAUAAUACCAACUAAGAAAGAUUAUCAUCACUUUCUCUGACAAUGCUUCCAAUGUAAUUUAAUAGACCAAAUAAACCUAGUUAGUUUAGAAUUUUCCACCUUAUAGGAAGAGAGAGCGAAUUUCUCUGUGAAGUCCCAGUGGCCCUCUGAAAAUCCUCAGAGAAAUUCUCUUCCUUCAUCCAGGUCAAAAGAAAGCCUUUAUUCAGGACUUGAAUAUUUUUGAGGGAGAAGCUUGUUAAAAAUAUCAAAAGAUUUUUAAACACUUGCUUAAAGUAAACAAGAUCAAGAGAUUGCUGAUCUUGUCAUUGUAAAGAAAGGGUCACUGAAACAGUACUUCAUAAUAUUUAACCAAAGUGACAAUAGCAAAAAAAAAAAACCUAAAUAGAGAGACCUCUGUCUUUUGCAUAGGAGAUUAUCUUAACCAAACAUAGAUCCUCUAAACCUUUUAUAAUCUCUUUAUGAAGAGCAGACUAAGAGUUUAAGAAAAUUAACCUUUUAAGAGAGAAAGCCAAAUUCUAAUUUUUGUACCAGUUUACUUUUUCAUAUUAAAACCCAUUUACUUAAUUAGAUUCAUUUUAAUCUUAACCAACUUGACCAGGUACAAAACUCUUUUCAGAAUUUCUAUAACUUUCUUUUUACAUUCAGAAUUUGUUCCAUGCUUUCUUUCUUACUUUCUAGUAUAUUAGGACAAAUUUAUCUUUCUUAACCAAUCAAACAAAAUAUUUCCAUUCUUUAUACCCUCUUUACUGAAAACAUACAUUUUACUUUCCUUGAAUUCAGAACUGUUUUCCUUAUUAAUUUCUGGUAGCUUUAAUUAUAUAGGUUAAUAAGAACUUUUAACCCUUAACAGACCAUAGUAAACACUAAAAAGGUAAGCAAGUAAGAAUUGUCUUUUAUACCAGCAUUCUAAACACUUCAUAAUUUCUAGAAACAUGCCACUUUACAAUAAAACACAAGGCAUACUUUCCAAUUGACCCAAAUGCUUUUAGCCUCUUUGCAAUAAGAAGCCAAAAGUAGAUAAACUUACAUUUAACGAUUAAUGUCUAAUAUCUUAUUUGGAAAUUAUCUAGUUACUCAACGAAUUUUAUCAUUCAGUUAAAUUAACCUAGCAAAAUUUCAAAGUUUCAAGUUACCAAAGAUUUUGGAAGUUAUUUUAAAUAUACAUACCAUAAACUAUAAUUAUUGCUAAAAAAUGUUAUCUAUAAACUCUUAUUUCAGAUAUAUCUAAAUCAUUUGUUCCCAAUAAUGAUGCUUAGAUUACCCACAAAAACUUUGAGACAUUAGACAAACAGCUAUCAUUUAAAGUUAUUAUGCUGACAAAUUUGUAACAGGGGUAACAUAAGCUUUUAUUUAUUUUAUUUUUUUAAACUAGUGAACCCAGCCUGCAUAUUUGCAUCAUAUGCAGUGCUAACUCUGGAGGACAUGUCCGAACAUUUUAAUCAAACCAACAAACUUAAACUUUCAUUAACCAAAGAUUAAUCCAUAUCAUCUUAACUUAAAAGACAUUGGGUUAAUUUCUAUUUCAUUUAGAAUUUAUGCAAGCGCUUACUUUAAUCCAAUUAAACAGAGCUCUUAGUUUUGGCCAUAUCACCCGGGGGUAAAAAUAUCACACACAUAUAGACACACAGACACAGAGCCUUUACAGCUAUUGUUUUAAAAAAUCACUCCAUGAAUCAGGUACAAUACAAAGCUCCCUAGUUAUGAAUCCAAAUUUUGUUCUGAGCCUUUUUACUAAUAUUUGUGGAGAAGACACUCAAGAUGCUAGAUUUUUUCUCGGCAAGGGCAGGCUUAUGACCUUUCCCCUCUUUUUUUUUUUUUCAGUCUUAGUAAUUAGUGAUGGGCUAGAUAGUAGUUCCUGGAGGCGGGGAGAUGAUAAUCCUUUUUGAGAUAAAGGAACUGAGUGGAAUCUGAACUGCCUCUAGAGCUGUAUUUCCAGUCUUGCACGGAUUUUCCAAAGACAGUUGGAAGUUACUGGGUUUAACUUAAUGACAUUCUAGAUUGACCUACCUGUCCAACUACAUCACAAAGGCACAGAGAAACUCCUCAAGUUUUCUCCAAGCUGGAGUUUCUGGAGCAGAAACCAUCCAACUGAAAGUGUUUCCAACUAGUUAAAAUGCACGCAGGGGCUGAGUCUCUGGGGAUGGUUGAGGCAUUCCUCAUGGCGGUAAAGCUGGUGUCUAACUGACAAGGCCAGAGAAAGGGUGCAAAGGCGCCUGACUGCAGGCAUCAACAUAGUUAUAAGAUCUAGUCAAAUCCCACUUAGCCCAGGGCACUUAGUCCCUGAGCCAGCACAGGUGAGCCAGGCAGGGAAGCAGGAGGCAAAGGCCUGGAGAACAAAGGAAAAGAGAUCAGGCCUCACCCUCAUGGCCUCUUCCCCAAGGGUUAUCGAGAUAGAGGUCACACAGCAGUUCCCAUGCUGGGGCACACAACACCAUCAGGACAGUUCACAGAAUAAAUCACAGGUCUCCUAUCGUCAUAACCAACUCAGUAGGCCACCUAAAAUGCUUAACGAGUCAAUCGCCAAGAGAGGGCACCCACGUGGUCGCCGGG